Molecule: ribosomal RNA, 347 nt
Filed under: Klebsiella variicola
Lineage: Bacteria; Pseudomonadati; Pseudomonadota; Gammaproteobacteria; Enterobacterales; Enterobacteriaceae
Description: partial 23S ribosomal RNA
Rfam family: Bacterial large subunit ribosomal RNA
Source: RNAcentral
GGCGAACCGGGGGAACUGAAACAUCUAAGUACCCCGAGGAAAAGAAAUCAACCGAGAUUCCCCCAGUAGCGGCGAGCGAACGGGGAGCAGCCCAGAGUCUGAAUCAGCUUGUGUGUUAGUGGAACGGUCUGGAAAGUCCGACGGUACAGGGUGAUAGUCCCGUACACCAAAAUGCACAGGUUGUGAACUCGAAGAGUAGGGCGGGACACGUGGUAUCCUGUCUGAAUAUGGGGGGACCAUCCUCCAAGGCUAAAUACUCCUGACUGACCGAUAGUGAACCAGUACCGUGAGGGAAAGGCGAAAAGAACCCCGGCGAGGGGAGUGAAAAAGAACCUGAAACCGUGUAC